RNAcentral lists this ribosomal RNA (497 nucleotides) under uncultured bacterium. Its description in RNAcentral is "partial 16S ribosomal RNA". It matches the Rfam family "Bacterial small subunit ribosomal RNA", at positions 28 to 507 of the family's 1533-position model. The record is from RNAcentral.
GAUGAACGCUGGCGGCGUGCCUAAUACAUGCAAGUCGAGCGAACAGACGAGGAGCUUGCUCCUUCGACGUUAGCGGCGGACGGGUGAGUAACACGUAGGUAACCUACCUAUAAGACUGGGAUAACUUCGGGAAACCGGAGCUAAUACCGGAUAAUAUUUCGAACCGCAUGGUUCGAUAGUGAAAGAUGGCUUUGCUAUCACUUAUAGAUGGACCUGCGCCGUAUUAGCUAGUUGGUAAGGUAACGGCUUACCAAGGCAACGAUACGUAGCCGACCUGAGAGGGUGAUCGGCCACACUGGAACUGAGACACGGUCCAGACUCCUACGGGAGGCAGCAGUAGGGAAUCUUCCGCAAAGGGCGAAAGCCUGACGGAGCAACGCCGCGUGAGUGAUGAAAGUCUUCGGAUCGUAAAACUCUGUUAUUAGGGAAGAACAAACGUGUAAGUAACUGUGCACGUCUUGACGGUACCUAAUCAGAAAGCCACGGCUAACUACGUG